AUGGCUGUGGAAAUUUGGAAAAUUUGCCUUUUCUAUCAAGAUGAGAAUCAACAACAUAAAGUUCUAGAAGGAUUCAUGGACAGAAAAGAUAUCUCCUUUUAUGAGUUAAUCAAAUUGACUAAAGAAGUUGGCUUCUCGCCGGCAUAUGGUUUCUUGUACUACAGGAAGAAAUACCCGCGUGGUAGCUCUUUCAAAGAUAGCUCGCUCGUCGUAUCUCGACAGAAGAAGAACAACUUUGAUCGAUGGAUAUGGAUUUCUUUCCUGUUGGUGCGAUUCAGGGAAGCUAUUUGUGGUGUAAUAUGCAGCUAA
RNAcentral lists this ribosomal RNA (309 nucleotides) under Triticum aestivum (bread wheat). Its description in RNAcentral is "partial small subunit ribosomal RNA". The record is from RNAcentral. Lineage: Eukaryota; Viridiplantae; Streptophyta; Magnoliopsida; Poales; Poaceae.